RNAcentral lists this ribosomal RNA (253 nucleotides) under uncultured bacterium. RNAcentral's name for it is "partial 16S ribosomal RNA". It matches the Rfam family "Bacterial small subunit ribosomal RNA", at positions 524 to 776 of the family's 1533-position model. The record is from RNAcentral.
UACAGAGGUCUCAACCGUUGUUCGGAUUCAUUGGGCGUAAAGGGUGCGUAGGCGGUCGCGCAAGUCGGAUGUGAAAUCUCAGGGCUCAACCCUGAAACUGCAUUCGAUACUGCGUGGCUAGAGUGCUGGAGAAGAGACUGGAAUUUACGGUGUAGCAGUGAAAUGCGUAGAUAUCGUAAGGAAGACCAGUGGCGAAGGCGAGUCUCUGGACAGCAACUGACGCUGAGGCACGAAGGCCAGGGGAGCAAACGGG